Molecule: long non-coding RNA, 1502 nt
Filed under: Homo sapiens (human)
Lineage: Eukaryota; Metazoa; Chordata; Mammalia; Primates; Hominidae
Description: HSALNT0033761
Source: RNAcentral
CAGGACACAGUGGGGCAGGCUCAUCUCUAUAGAGCAGCUUGAGAUCUGGGGCUAGAAUAAUUUGAAACAUUACUCACUCACAGGUCUGGUGGUCCAUACUGGUAAGAGUCAAAGACCUGAGGGCCCUCUAGCCUCUUUCUGUCUCUAAUCCAACCCCACCAGUCUCUCUGACCUCAUCUCUUUCUUCUCUGCACUCUAACCAACUGGCCUUCUUAUUCUCUUCAAAUCCAAGUAUGUUCCUGCCUCAGAAUCUAUGCAUGGGCUGUUUGUUUCUGUCUAGAAUGUACUUCCCCCAUAUUGUCUCAUGUCUCCUCCCUUACCUUAUUUGGGUCUUAAGAGUUAACAAUCAGUGAGACCUUCCCUGACCAUCCUAUCUAAAAAGCCAUCCAUUCCUAUGGCUAACUUUUUAUCCUGCUUUAUUUUUUCCUCAUAGCACUUAUAUUUAUUGUUUAUUGACUGCUUCCUCUACUGGAAUAUAAGCUCAUGAGAGCAGAAACCCUUCCUAACUUUUUCAACAUUAUAUUUCCAGUGCUAAAACAGUAACUUUACAUGGUAGGUACUCAAUAAACACAUUUGAAUGAAAACUAGAAUUAAAAAGCGUUUUUUUUUUUUUGUCCUGUUCUUUCUUUGUUUAGUUACCUUAAAAACCUGUGAAGUAAUAAUGAACUAUCUGGAAAGAAAAUUAGGAAAACUCCCAUUUAUAAUUGCACUGAAAAAAAUAAAAUACUUAGGAGGUGAAAGACUUGUACACUAAAAACCACAAAACAUUGAUUAAAAAAAAUUAAAGACGACAGACUGAGGGAGAGAGACAGAGAAAGAGGGGAGAAGGAGGAGGAUUCAGGGAAUAGGAGCUGGGGAGCCCUUCUGUGCCACAGAAGUAGAAGUAGAGAUACUCAAGAUUAUGGCAGACAGGAGGCAGGACUAGAUUGCAGCUCUGACUUGGAUGGACAGAACACUGUGUGGAGGGUCGCAUCAUGAAUUUUAGCUCCAGAAUGACUGCAGGAAUAAAUCAGGAAUCCCAGAGGACCCACAGACCCUCUGAAGGAAGUGGAUUGCUCCUGCAGGACCCGGGAGACACCCCAAAUACCGCUCUGAUCUAACACAAGCCUUGUCCAGCCUCAUCUUGAGUUUUCAGCUGAGGAAACGGAGGCUCAAAUGCUCGUCAGUUUCCCAGGGACGUGGGCUGGUGAUAUACCUGCUCAUAUCCACUGCCUGUUUUUAGAGAAGAGGCAUCCAGAAUGGCAGAAAGAUGCAUGGCAAUGUCCUCAUUGUGUCAGGCGUGGCUUGGGUCCCUGUACCCUACUGAAGAAAUUUGAAGGUGCCACAGAAGAGAACCCAAAACAAGCCACAGAAAUGAGCCAAAGUAAUUAAAGAAUGUUACCAUGUUACCUACCAUGCCUCAGGCAUUGAGCUAAACGACCAGGCUACAAAGAUGCACAGAGAUGCCUUACCUUGAAGAGUUCAAGACCUGGGGUACAGAAUGGCCAGGGGCACAAGACAGC